RNAcentral lists this small RNA (127 nucleotides) under Marmota monax (woodchuck). Lineage: Eukaryota; Metazoa; Chordata; Mammalia; Rodentia; Sciuridae. The record is from RNAcentral.
GCUGGGUGUAGUGGCGCAUGCCUGUAAUCCCAACAGCUCAGGAGACUGAAGCAGGAGGAUCAUGAGUUCAAAGCCAGCUUCAGCAAUUUAGCAAGGUACUAAGCAACUCGGUGAGACCCUGUCUCUC